UGUGGGAACCGCUACUCUUUCUGUGUGU
RNAcentral lists this non-coding RNA (28 nucleotides) under Mus musculus (house mouse). The record is from RNAcentral. Lineage: Eukaryota; Metazoa; Chordata; Mammalia; Rodentia; Muridae.